RNAcentral lists this unclassified non-coding RNA (90 nucleotides) under Pseudomonas brenneri. The record is from RNAcentral. Lineage: Bacteria; Pseudomonadati; Pseudomonadota; Gammaproteobacteria; Pseudomonadales; Pseudomonadaceae.
UGUGGGAGCGGGCUUGCUCGCGAAUGCGCAGUGUCAGUCGCCAUAAAUGUUGGCUGGCCUAACGUAUUCGCGAGCAAGCCCGCUCCCACA